This 229-nucleotide ribosomal RNA is filed under the name uncultured bacterium. RNAcentral's name for it is "partial 16S ribosomal RNA". It matches the Rfam family "Bacterial small subunit ribosomal RNA", at positions 103 to 334 of the family's 1533-position model. The record is from RNAcentral.
CGGGUGAGUAACACGUGGGAACGUGCCCUUUGGUUCGGAACAACUCAGGGAAACUUGAGCUAAUACCGAAUGUGCCCCCAUCCUUGAUCGGAUGGGUGGGAAAGAUUUAUCGCCAUUGGAGCGGCCCGCGUCUGAUUAGCUAGUUGGUGGGGUAAAGGCCCACCAAGGCUACGAUCAGUAGCUGGUCUGAGAGGAUGAUCAGCCACACUGGGACUGAGACACGGCCCAG